CCCUUAGAUGUCCUGGGCCGCACGCGCGUUACACUGAUGCAUUCAACGAGCUUAUAACCUUGGCCGAGAGGCCUGGGCAAUCUUGUUAACGUGCAUCGUGAUAGGGAUAGAUUAUUGAAAUUAUUAAUCUUGGACGAGGAAUUCCUAGUAAACGCAGAUCAUCAAUCUGCAUUGAUUACGUCCCUGCCCUUUGUACACACCGCCCGUCGCACCUACCGAUUGGAUGGUCCGGUGAAGCCUCGGGAUUGUGGUUCUUGCCGCUUUAUUGUAGCGUGACCGCGAGAACUUGUCUAAACCUUAUCAUCUAGAGGAAGGUGAAGUCGUAACA
RNAcentral lists this ribosomal RNA (328 nucleotides) under uncultured eukaryote. RNAcentral describes it as "partial 18S ribosomal RNA". It matches the Rfam family "Eukaryotic small subunit ribosomal RNA", at positions 1470 to 1796 of the family's 1831-position model. The record is from RNAcentral.